GAUGAACGCUGACAGAAUGCUUAACACAUGCAAGUCAACUUGAAUUUGGGUUUUUAACUUAGGUUUGGGUGGCGGACGGGUGAGUAACGCGUAAAGAACUUGCCUCACAGUUAGGGACAACAUUUGGAAACGAAUGCUAAUACCUAAUAUUAUGAUAAUAGGGCAUCCUAUAAUUAUGAAAGCUAUAAGCGCUGUGAGAGAGCUUUGCGUCCCAUUAGCUAGUUGGAGAGGUAACGGCCCACCAAGGCGAUGAUGGGUAGCCGGCCUGAGAGGGUGAUCGGCCACAAGGGGACUGAGACACGGCCCUUACUCCUACGGGAGGCAGCAGUGGGGAAUAUUGGACAAUGGACCAAGAGUCUGAUCCAGCAAUUCUGUGUGCACGAUGAAGUUUUUCGGAAUGUAAAGUGCUUUCAGUUGGGAAGAAAUAAAUGACGGUACCAACAGAAGAAGUGACGGCUAAAUACGUGCCAGCAGCCGCGGUAAUACGUAUGUCACGAGCGUUAUCCGGAUUUAUUGGGCGUAAAGCGCGUCUAGGUGGUUAUGUAAGUCUGAUGUGAAAAUGCAGGGCUCAACUCUGUAUUGCGUUGGAAACUGUGUAACUAGAGUACUGGAGAGGUAAGCGGAACUACAAGUGUAGAGGUGAAAUUCGUAGAUAUUUGUAGGAAUGCCGAUGGGGAAGCCAGCUUACUGGACAGAUACUGACGCUAAAGCGCGAAAGCGUGGGUAGCAAACAGG
This 735-nucleotide ribosomal RNA is filed under the name uncultured Fusobacterium sp. Its description in RNAcentral is "bacterial SSU rRNA". It matches the Rfam family "Bacterial small subunit ribosomal RNA", at positions 28 to 776 of the family's 1533-position model. Lineage: Bacteria; Fusobacteriati; Fusobacteriota; Fusobacteriia; Fusobacteriales; Fusobacteriaceae. The record is from RNAcentral.